UACGAAGGGGGCUAGCGUUGUUCGGAAUUACUGGGCGUAAAGCGCGUGUAGGCGGGUCUUUAAGUCAGGGGUGAAAUGCCAAGGCUCAACCUUGGAACUGCCUUUGAUACUGGAGAUCUUGAGUCCGGGAGAGGUGAGUGAAAUUGCGAGUGUAGAGGUGAAAUUCGUAGAUAUUCGCAAGAACACCAGUGGCGAAGGCGGCUCACUGGCCCGGAACUGACGCUGAGACGCGAAAGCGUGGGGAGCAAACAGG
Molecule: ribosomal RNA, 253 nt
Filed under: uncultured bacterium
Lineage: Bacteria
Description: partial 16S ribosomal RNA
Rfam family: Bacterial small subunit ribosomal RNA
Source: RNAcentral